AGUUUCCGUAGGUGAACUUGCGGAGGGAUCAUUACAGUAUUCUUUUGCCAGCGCUUAACUGCGCGGCGAAAAACCUUACACACAGUGUCUUUUUGAUACAGAACUCUUGUUUUGGUUUGGCCUAGAGAUAGGUUGGGCCAGAGGUUUAACAAAACACAAUUUAAUUAUUUUUCCAGUUAGUCAAAUUUUGAAUUAAUCUUCAAAACUUUCAACAACGGAUCUCUUGGUUCUCGCAUCGAUGAAGAACGCAGCGAAAUGCGAUAAGUAAUAUGAAUUGCAGAUUGUGGUGAAUCAUAGAAUCUUUGAACGCACAUUGCGCCCUCUGGUAUUCCAGAGGGCAUGCCUGUUUGAGCGUCAUUUCUCUCUCAAACCCCCGGGUUUGGUAUAGAGUGAUACUCUUAGUCGGAAUAGGCGUUUGCUUGAAAAGUAUUGGCAUGGGUAGUACUAGAUAGUGCUGUCGACCUCUCAAUGUAUUAGGUUUAUCCAACUCGUUGAAUGGUGUGGCGGGAUAUUUCUGGUAUUGUUGGCCCAGGCCUUACAACAACCAAACUAAGUUGGCCUCAAAUCAUGUUGGAAUACCCGCUGAACUUAAGCAUAUCAAUAAGCGGAGGAA
RNAcentral lists this ribosomal RNA (613 nucleotides) under Meyerozyma guilliermondii. Its description in RNAcentral is "eukaryotic LSU rRNA". The stretch from base 204 to 357 matches the Rfam family "5.8S ribosomal RNA". The record is from RNAcentral. Lineage: Eukaryota; Fungi; Ascomycota; Pichiomycetes; Serinales; Debaryomycetaceae.